Molecule: long non-coding RNA, 4306 nt
Filed under: Sus scrofa (pig)
Lineage: Eukaryota; Metazoa; Chordata; Mammalia; Artiodactyla; Suidae
Description: lncRNA (ENSSSCG00050043668.1)
Source: RNAcentral
ACCAACUAUAAUGGAAAAAAUAAAAAUAAUUAAAAAAGAAAAAAAUAAAAUGACAUAAGGCAUAUUUAAGAUUUGGAUUUUACAUUGUGUUUACGGGAAAGAUUGCUGAGCAGAGCCAGAGAACUAUGUAGGAAAGGGAGAAGGUACUAAUUUGAAUGUGUAUUUAGUAGGUGGCAGGAGCUAUGCCUUACAUUUUAUACACAGUAUUUCAUUUAAUUGCCCUAAUGCUCCUACACAUGAGAACAAAGAACCUCUGAGUUACCUGGCUGAGUCACACAACUCAUAAAUGAAAGCAUAAGGACUCAAACUAGCCCAGAUCAGCUUAACAAAAAACAUUUUGAGCAAGGACAAUAUACAAAGAACUAGGCCUGGCCUGAUAGAAGUAGGGUAAGAUUUUUUAAAAUGAAGGCACAAUGCCUGUCUUCAAAAUACUUACUUCUAAAGGGAGAGUUAAAAGAGAAAUGAAAAAAAAAAAAAGUCAGGAGAAUUCAAAGUUGACAAACAUUAAAUUUUGUUGGGCAGUCUUAGGAAUGACUUUGUGGCUUACCUAGCUAUUCAAUGUGAGUCUUAAAGGAUAGCUAAGGUUUUUAAAAGAAGUGUAUUAUAAAUGGACUUGUAGCUCAGGGGGUUAAGAAUACAACCUGGUGUCUGUGAGAAUAUGGAUUUGAUCCCUAGCCUCGCUCAGUGAGUUAAGGAUUUGGUGUUGCCACGAGCUACAGUGUAGAUCCCAGAUGUAGCUUGAAUAUGGUGUUGCUGUGGCUGUGAUGUAGGCCUGCAGCUGUAGCUCUGAUUUGACCCCUAGCCUGGGAACCUCCCUAUGCCACAGGAGCAGCCAUAAAAAGAAAAAAAAAAAAGUAGACAGCAAUGGAAAACAAGAAUACGUUUUGUUUAGAAGAAACAGAGUGAAAAGAAAAGAGGAGCAAGUCACGCUGUGUUUUAAGAAGGCCCAUGUGUUCUCAGAAAAGCUGAGAAGGCAGCACAUCUGUAUUAGCCAGAGGAGUUUCAAUAACAGGUCUCAAAAAACUCAAACCAUUUCAAGCAGAAAAAGAAAUUAAUACAACAUCACUGCCUCAUAAAGCCCCCUCAAAAACCUGGCAGUCAUGAAAAUUUGAACUCAGUUUUGAACACUGCCCAGCCUACUUCUACUUCCCUCCCGACUUCUCUUUGAGAGUUGGCUUCAUUCUUCUUUCUUAUUGCUGACAGUUUAUUUUGGUCUUUGAUCCAUGUGCCCACCUCCUGCAAAAUUAUUUAAGAAGUUGCUAAAAAGAGAUGGCUUAUAAGCACUUGGAGAGAAGGGUUGACAGGGAGACAAAAAUGGGUUCUCAGAGAAAAGUCAUGUCUAAUUCAUAACUCUUCAUUUUUUAACAGGGUUAUUAAUGGUAAUAUUAGGGAACAUAGAGAACUGAAGUUUUACAUGAUAUGCAAAUAUGCCAUCUUAGUUUGCUAUCUAGGACGUUUCAUGAUCUGGCCUCUGAACUGCUUCAACAGUCUCCCUCGCUCCUCACCUUGCUCCCCCUGCUAGACUGUAAGUUAAAUGAAAAGCAGAGAAUAUGUCAUUUUCACCAUCAUACUUCCAGCAUCUAGCAAAGAUCCUGGCCCAUAGCAGGUACUUGAUUAAUGUAUAUUUAAUCAACAAAUGAAUAAAUAACAUUUUGUAGAUAAAAACUAUGGUAUGUUGGCUAGAUGAGAAUGAGAUUUUGUAAGUAACUUUCUUAAAAGUAUGCAUAGUUUUGUGUAGUAAAAUCAAGUAGUUGAGGGCUAUAAGGUCUGAACCUAGCCAUAUGUUAUUAUUCAACAUUCCCAUCAAUAAUUCAAAUGAAGAAAAAGGAGGAAUAUGUAUUAUACCUCCAACAAAGCUCAAGGACAAAUGUGGAAUGACAGUAACAGAUAUCAAAAAGAUCUUGACAGGCUAAAGGGAUGAAAAGCAAUCAAGACAAAAUUUAACAAAAAUAAAUAUGCAUCUCUGCAUUAAGGUUCAAAAUUAGCAAUGACAAUGGAGACAUGACUUGACAAUAUUUCAAAAGGUGAGCCUGAGACUAAAAUUGUAUUUCAGUUAACUGCCUUCAUUUUGCAGUCUUGUGCAUUUUAUUUUUAUAUGUAAAAGUAUUCCAAGAAAGGAUUCAACACAAGGUUGCCAGUGCAAUUUCAUGGCACAAAAUUCAUAACAAUCUCUGACCUACAGCUUCUACUUUUACAAGAAACAGAUUUAUUGAGCUGUAAAUCAUACAUUAUAAAAUUUUAAAAUGUAAAAUCCAGUGGGUUUUAGUAUAUUAGCUGAGUUAUUCAACUGUCACCACAAUAACAUUUUAGAAUAUUUCAUUGCUCCUAAAAUAAACCCCAUACUCAUUAGCAGUCAUUCCCAUUCUACACUCCCCUCAUUGCUUGGCAAUCACUAAUUUGCUUUUUGCCAUCAUAGAUUUGCUUGUUUUGGACAUUUCACAUAAAUGGAAUCAUACAAUAUGUGACCUUUUCUGUGACUUUUUAGCAUAGUGUUUUCAAGGUUCAUCCAGAUUGUAGAAUAUAUCAGUACUUCAUUCCUCUUUCUGGCUAAAAAAUAUUCUAUUGCAUGAGUACACUGUAUUUGUUAAUUUGUCAGUUGAUGAACAUUUGGAUUGUCUCCAUUUUUUGAUCAUUCUGAAUAAUACUGUUAUGUAUGAACAUUCAUGUAGAAAUUUUUGUGUGGAUAUACGUUUUCAUGUCUCCCGGACAAAUGUCUAGGAGCACAAUUGCUGGCUCAUAGGGUAACUCUUAUGUUUAGGUUUCCUGGGAAUAUGUUUCCAAAGUCAUUGUACCAUUUUAUAAUCACGAUAGCAAUGCGUAAGGGUUCCAAUUUCUCCAAUUCCUCUACAACACUUUAUUAUUAUUAUUAUUUUAGCUCUCCUAGUGUGUGUGAUGUGGUAUUUCAUAGUUUUGAUUUGCACUUCCCUGUUGACUAAAGAUAUUGAGCAUAUUUUAUAUGCUUAUUGAUCUACUGUAUGUCCUAUUCAAACCCUUUGUCCAUCUUUUAAUUGGGUUACUUAUCUAUUUAUGAUUGAGUUGCAAGUGCUUUUUUCAUCAUCUUGACACAGUCUGUUAUCACUAUAUGAUUAAAAAAUUUUUUCCCUUAUCUGUGAGGUUGUCUUUUCUUUCUCACUGACUCUUUGACUGUAAAUUCAGUUUGACCCUUUUCACAACAUGGUCAACAAAAAUGAACAUAAUGUUAAACCGUAUUAAUAAAACUAUGCAACCCAGAUAAAAAUAUAUCUACUCUCUGUUAGUCUGGCCACUCGGGAAUGUUGAAAUCAGUUCAGGGUACCACAGUGAAGAAGGCAUACAAAAAUAGAUUAAAUUAUUCCUGGGGUGAGCAAGGGUCUGAAAACCACUUCAUAUUGCUUAUAAGAAACAGAACAGGGAGUAGAGUAUAUUUAGCACAGAAUAAGUGUUCUCCAGUUACUGAAGGGUACUCAUGUAAUUCUCUAGAAACUGAAAGUAAAAUAAAUCGAUGCCAAAUAAAAGACCCCUUUGAGGGGGUCUAUAUAAUGGAGGAAUUACAACAGUCACACCAUGCUAAAUGCUUAUUAAAUAUUAAAUAAAUAUUAGCUAAAUAGAUCAAUGAAUAAAUAAAUUGAACCUAUACAAAGGCAGAACGAGCUGUUUGUUUCAAUAAGGAGUAGGCUCCCACCAAUAAAAUGUUCAAGAAAGUAAAAAAUUAUCCACUGCUCCUGUGGUACACGUUUCCUUCAUUGCUAAAAAAGAUUGGACAAGAUAAUCUCUGAAGUCUCUUCCAAAUCUAAGACUCACUUUAAAAACCCAGAUCAGGAAGUUAUUGAUGGAGAUUCAAUUUUUAAAUCUAUUUUGAAUUAGGAAUAUACUCACAAGAAAAAUUUAAUGUACAAAAGAGAAUACACUGAAACUUGGAUCUUUCUCCCAUUCCUGUAUCCCGUCACUCAGUGUCCUUCCUUGGAGGUAAACCCUGUUAUUGUUUCUUAUCCAGAAAUAUUCUGUUUGUGAAGGUAUACAUGAAAAAAAUAUUUUUACAUAAAUGGUAGCUUGGUACACAUGUUUUGCAUCUUGUAUUUUUCACUUUAAAAUCUACUUUGCAUGGAGUUCCCCUCGUGGCUCAGUGUUAAGGAACCUGACUAGCACCCAUGAGGAUACUGGUUCAAUCCCUGGCCUCGCUCAGUGGGUUAAGGAUCUGGCAUUGCCAUCAGCUGUGGUGUAGGUUGCAGAUACCACUUGGAUCUGGCAUUGCUGUGGCUGUGGUGUAGGCCAGCGGCUACAGCUCCGAUUCAACCCCUAGCCUGGGAACCUCCAUAUGCCAUGGGUA